Molecule: ribosomal RNA, 301 nt
Filed under: uncultured bacterium
Lineage: Bacteria
Description: partial 16S ribosomal RNA
Rfam family: Bacterial small subunit ribosomal RNA
Source: RNAcentral
CAGUCGCCGCGGUAAUACAGAGGGUGCGAGCGUUAAUCGGAUUUACUGGGCGUAAAGCGUGCGUAGGCGGCUUCUUAAGUCGGAUGUGAAAUCCCUGAGCUUAACUUAGGAAUUGCAUUCGAUACUGGGAAGCUAGAGUAUGGGAGAGGAUGGUAGAAUUCCAGGUGUAGCGGUGAAAUGCGUAGAGAUCUGGAGGAAUACCGAUGGCGAAGGCAGCCAUCUGGCCUAAUACUGACGCUGAGGUACGAAAGCAUGGGGAGCAAACAGGAUUAGAUACCCGCGUAGUCCCUGUCUCUUUACA